UGGGGGUGCAUGUCAGGAGCUGUGGAAGAAAGUUGUGCUGUACCAUGGUCUCCCCUUUUGGCAAGCUGGGUGGUGCAUCUGCAGGAAUCGCCUUGACUUGGUGCAUCAUGAGAGGGAAAAUCCAGCUUGGGGCGGGAGGAGGAGGGCUCUGCCCAUAGUGGGGCAUGAGUAGGGUGACCAGACAGCAAGGAAGGAGGCCCCGAGGUAAUACUGAGAGGCAUGGAAAGGCAGAUUCUCUCUCUGGCUGGAGUUGGGUGUGAAUGGCAGCAAAUGGUGACGGUACCAAAGCUUCAGACCACAGUGAUGUUCUCAGGCUCUUCUACAGCAAUCCGAACUGUGGUCAUUCUUUUCACUCUGCUGAUAAGUGAUUGCUCCAACUAUUUUAAAACUGGACUGAAUAAUGCAUUUGAAAAAUAGGAAAUGUUCAUUCUACAUUAGCAGAGAGAAGGGCUGACUGAACUCCUAUGAAAUUGAUGCAGUAAAAUAAAUGGCAUCUUACUUCUUGGCAUACCAAGAUUAGAACAUUGAUUUUUUUAUCAUAUGUUAUGCCAUACUGUGUACGUACAGAAAAUUGCAGCCUUUCUUGUUUACAGUAUAUACCAGUUUCUUAAUUUAAUUUGAAGAGUCUCUGAAAUUAAUAUUCAAAUUCAAUCUAUAAAUUGAAAUGAAUAUUGAGAAGUCUGAUCUCCAUGUUGUAGUAACUAAAACAAUAUAAAUGUUAACAGUAUUCCCUUUAAACACAAAAUGAAAUAUAGUUAGUAGCUUGGGGUUAAGAUUUUAACUCCCUUAUAUUUAAUAUAAAAUAUCCUCCUUUGUUACAUCUAUAAACACAGAGCACAUUAGAUGAAGGAAACUUCCUUUAUCAUUAAUAGGUCACAUUAAUGUGAUAAAAAUGUCUAUGCUCUCCAUAAAUUUUAUUCUUAUUUUAA
This is a long non-coding RNA of Dermochelys coriacea (leatherback sea turtle), 929 nucleotides long. RefSeq lists it as uncharacterized. NCBI's taxonomy places the organism in Eukaryota, Metazoa, Chordata, Testudines, Dermochelyidae. The record is from RefSeq and is a predicted model, not a curated record. The transcript is spliced from 2 exons.